AGCUUUGUGCAGUGGCAUUAUCACAGCCACUAAGGUUUAUCCAAGACACAAUUAUUGCUAAUUGAAAACGAUUCAUCAGACAGUCUUAAUACAUUUAUUUUACCACAUCCUGCUACUAAAGCAAAUCCAUCCAUCUAAAUUGUUAAAUCUCUGUGAGGCAAGAUUUUAA
Molecule: small nuclear RNA, 169 nt
Filed under: Cavia porcellus (domestic guinea pig)
Lineage: Eukaryota; Metazoa; Chordata; Mammalia; Rodentia; Caviidae
Description: U4 spliceosomal RNA
Rfam family: U4 spliceosomal RNA
About the family: U4 small nuclear RNA (U4 snRNA) is a component of the major U2-dependent spliceosome. The structure of U4 snRNA from yeast and human has been reported.
Source: Rfam by way of RNAcentral